UAAACGUGGAAAUUGUGAAUGCUGAAUAUGUCACAAGUGUAUACAGAAAGCCAAUGUACAGAGCAAUAUUUAUACCAAAUGACUCCCCCGAUCUGGUUAGUUAUAAGCAUGCAGCAUUUAGAGCAUUGUUUAGGAGAGCCUUUACACACUACUCUAAUAAAUCGAAACAGAAACAGGAAUUGGACUUAAUUUUAAGCGAAGAUGUGAGGCAUGGUUUCUCUUCCAAAACAUUAUGGAAUCUAUUCAACAAAGUUAAACAAAGUUCAUAUUUACCUGAAACACCAAAGGUACAGAACAGUGAAAGGCAUUACUUUAAAAAGAUAGAAUAUUUGACACCAUAAAAAAUUGCAACAAAUAUAUAGAAAAGCUUACUAAUAUGAAGCUAGUUUUUAAAAAGAAAAAUGUAGUUUCCAGUUUGUUGCAC
RNAcentral lists this long non-coding RNA (424 nucleotides) under Androctonus crassicauda. Lineage: Eukaryota; Metazoa; Arthropoda; Arachnida; Scorpiones; Buthidae. The record is from RNAcentral.